This 383-nucleotide ribosomal RNA is filed under the name uncultured eukaryote. RNAcentral's name for it is "partial 18S ribosomal RNA". It matches the Rfam family "Eukaryotic small subunit ribosomal RNA", at positions 592 to 976 of the family's 1831-position model. The record is from RNAcentral.
CAAUAGCGUAUAUUAAAGUUGUUGCAGUUAGAAAGCUCGUAGUUGGAUUUCUGGUAGGAGCGACCGUGCCGAACUUGAUUGUUCGAGUAUUGUGUUGUCUUCAGCCAUCCUCGUGGAGAACUUUUCUAACAUUAACUUGUUGGGAUUGGGACCCGCGUCGUUUACUGUGAAAAAAUUAGAGUGUUUAAAGCAGGCAUUAGCUUGAAUACAUUAGCAUGGAAUAAUAAGAUAGGACUUUGGUACUAUUUUGUUGGUUUGCAUACCAAAUUAAUGAUCAACAGGAACAGUUUGAGGAUAUUCGUAUGAACAUGUCAGAGGUGAAAUUCUUGGAUUUUGAUCAGACGAACUACUGCGAAAGCAUUUAUCAAGGAUGUUUUCAUUAA